This 462-nucleotide ribosomal RNA is filed under the name uncultured bacterium. Its description in RNAcentral is "partial 16S ribosomal RNA". It matches the Rfam family "Bacterial small subunit ribosomal RNA", at positions 28 to 507 of the family's 1533-position model. The record is from RNAcentral.
GACGAACGCUGGCGGCGUGCUUAACACAUGCAAGUCGAGCGGAAAGGCCCUUCGGGGUACUCGAGCGGCGAACGGGUGAGUAACACGUGAGUAACCUGCCCCAGACUUUGGGAUAACCCUCGGAAACGGGGGCUAAUACCGGAUACGACACAGCUUCGCAUGGGGACUGUGUGGAAAGUUUUUCGGUUUGGGAUGGGCUCGCGGCCUAUCAGCUUGUUGGUGGGGUGAUGGCCUACCAAGGCGACGACGGGUAGCCGGCCUGAGAGGGCGACCGGCCACACUGGGACUGAGACACGGCCCAGACUCCUACGGGAGGCAGCAGUGGGGAAUAUUGCACAAUGGGCGGAAGCCUGAUGCAGCGACGCCGCGUGAGGGAUGACGGCCUUCGGGUUGUAAACCUCUUUCAGCAGGGACGAAGCGUAAGUGACGGUACCUGCAGAAGAAGCGCCGGCCAACUACGUG